This 477-nucleotide ribosomal RNA is filed under the name Bacteroidetes bacterium oral taxon 274. RNAcentral's name for it is "bacterial SSU rRNA". It matches the Rfam family "Bacterial small subunit ribosomal RNA", at positions 28 to 498 of the family's 1533-position model. The record is from RNAcentral. Lineage: Bacteria; Pseudomonadati; Bacteroidota.
GAUGAACGCUAGCGAUAGGCUUAACACAUGCAAGUCGAGGGGCAUCACGAAUUAGCAAUAGUUUGGUGGCGACCGGCGCACGGGUGCGUAACACGUAUACAACCUACCUUCAAUUGGGGAAUAACCUGGAGAAAUUUGGACUAAUACCCCAUAGUAAACGGAAGAGGCAUCUUUUUUGUUUUAAAGAUUUAUUGAUUGGAGAUGGGUAUGCGUAGGAUUAGCUAGUUGGUAAGGUAACGGCUUACCAAGGCGACGAUCCUUAGGGGUUCUGAGAGGAAGGUCCCCCACACUGGUACUGAGACACGGACCAGACUCCUACGGGAGGCAGCAGUGAGGAAUAUUGGUCAAUGGUCGAGAGACUGAACCAGCCAAGUCGCGUGAAGGAAGACGGCUCUAUGAGUUGUAAACUUCUUUUGUACAGGAGUAAAGUGAGACACGCGUGUUUUAUUGCAAGUACUGUACGAAUAAGCAUCGGCU